Molecule: transfer RNA, 69 nt
Filed under: Symposiachrus bimaculatus (Moluccan monarch)
Lineage: Eukaryota; Metazoa; Chordata; Aves; Passeriformes; Monarchidae
Description: tRNA-Asp
Source: RNAcentral
GAGGUGUUAGUAAAAUUAUUACAUAGUCUUGUCAAGACUAAAUUACAGGUGAAACUCCAGUACACCUCA